Anas platyrhynchos (mallard) is the source of this 7638-nucleotide long non-coding RNA. RefSeq lists it as uncharacterized. Lineage: Eukaryota; Metazoa; Chordata; Aves; Anseriformes; Anatidae. The record is from RefSeq and is a predicted model, not a curated record.
UCAUUAGGUCAACUGUAACCACUAAGCCCCUUGUCAGGUUAUUUCUACAAGUGAUAAGGAGCAAUAGACCUUAAAACUUUGAAGCCAGAUAGACGAGCUUAUUCCACAAGGUCUCUUGGCUUCACCCUUGUUAAGUGCAACCUGCCAGGUGUGGGUCAUUUGACCUUUGUUAUAUAGGAAGCCUGAGGACGGGUGGGGGAAUUGCCUCCCCAGGAGAAACUGAGGCUUGGGUAGCCUAGGGUGUUUUUCUCUCGUGGCUCAGUGUUCCCUACUAGGCUGCUUUUCCUUCAAGUUUUCUGCCCUCUCUGUGAAAUAGUUUUAGAGACUCUAUGAGCCAGUUACAUUGGUGGUGCCUUCUUCAGAAAAACCCUGGUGGGACUGCUUCACUGCGAAGCACGUUGGAAGUGACUCGAGUUCAGGAGACAGCAGCUAAGUGCUGAAUGGGCCCUUCAGCUCAAAUUAAAUCACCCUGUGGCAUCAGAAAGAACCAAUUCUAAAGAGCAUCUAGGAUGUGUGACUUCCUAUUUUCUCCUUUUUCUAGAACAGGGCUAAUGGAGAGAAAUGAAACUGUGCUUUGUCAAGAGAGUCAUCUCCGGCUUCUUCAGGUGAUGGAAAGCAUGUUGUAGGCUGUACUUCAAGUGCUGCAGAAAAGAAUGGCACAAUCCCCAUUGUAACUGAUGAUGGUUUGGGUUUUGCUUAGAAAAACGUUGAGAAGAGUUGAGCAUUUGUGAGCAAAACAGUUGUCCUUUCAAUUAUUUGUUACCACUGCUUCAGGUAAGUUGAUAACACAUGAUUGAGGAGACUAACUUUUUAACUACCCCCAAAAAGUGCUGUUUGGCUUUCUUCACACUGAAUGACUUGGUCUACUGACCAGGGAUAGGACAAUUGACCCAACAGUAACCACAAGCAAAGAUGAACACGAGUGAUACAUCUCACCGUUCUUUUAAAAUAUAAACUUUCUUUUUGUACAUAUUCCUUUUGGAAUUGGCUGCUGUGUUGCAUAAGACCAGACUGACAGAAGAGGCCUCUGAGCUCUUUGGUUGUGAGUAAUUUUUGAACAACACAUACUGCCAAGAGUAAAACAAACUCAGAAAAAUACUGAGCAGAAAAAUGGCCCAGUGAAAAGUGCUGUCAGGUGAAUCACUCUUGAACUGCAGCAAAGCAGAAUUUAUCCUUUUUGUCUGAAAACAGUGGUUGCAAGAAUUUAAAUAAGUAAAAAAUGUAGUUUUAUGUCUGAUAAUACAUAUUGCUUGAAUGAAGCCACGUCAAUUAAAACCAUUAACUCAGAGAAAGCGAGUUAAAGGAGUGCAGUACACAAUGUGACAUAAUGUGGUCUAAAACAAAGCACAUAAAAAUACAGAAAAGUCCUGAACGUGCUUAAGCAGUUAAUCUGCUGUGCAAAUCACUAAGGUGUAAGGUGAGAACACAAUAUUCUUACACCAUCCAUUCUGAAUUUUUCUAAUCAUAACUCAAGAAAAUAAAACAAUACAAAAGGAGGUUCCUCACCUAAACUUAUAGCUGUGUGCAUAUUGCAAGAAAUACCAAAAGAGACCCAGAAUAAGAGGGGCAAAGGGGACUUCAAUCUUUCCAUGCAAUCCCACUUGGCUGAAAAGCGUAGAAGAGUGGUCUAUCCUGCAUAAACUAGAAGGAGUUUGCCUGUGGCAUUACAAGCCCAGGCGGGUUGUACUGUUACUCAGGUUGGGAUAAAGGAAAAAUGUUCUUAAAAGGGUUUAUUGAGAGAGCUUACACUGCCUGGUAUUGCUUAUUUUCCAGUACUAUCUUGAUACCAGCUGAUCAAUGCAUGGAGCAAGACUGUACUGAAUUCCUAGGCUGGGAGUGAUUACUUAACAUCAGAUACCCAACACCAAAUUCAAAAGAUGGUUAUUCAGUCCAGAAUGUGUUUGUACUUACAAACUACAGAUGUAUUUCUCAGUAUAUAUCAACAUUCAUGGUAUUAGAGAACUGCAGGGUACUGUUGUGAUUUAACUGCCAAAAGCCAGACAAGUACUUUAAUUCAAGGGGAAUCUCUGGAGGUCUAGUCUCUGUCCAAGGCAGGUCAAAAUUUCAAAGUUAGAUCAGGCUGCUGCAGUUUUGAAUACCUCCAAGGAUGAAGAUUCCCCAAGUCUCUAUUGGUUCCUAUUUUUCCUUUCAAAGUGCAUCCCUAAGUUAAAGAGUGUAGUAACUGGAUAAUGAGAAAACUCUGAGAACCUUGACUCAAACCUCACUGUUUAAAUAUGAACUUCAUUUCUGGAAGCACUGGGUUUCUGCGAAAAUAUGUAUAUAUACUGUUCAAAUAUGUGUUUGAGGCAUGCAACAUUUUGUAAUUAUCCCUUUCUUUCAUAACAACACAAUUGAGGUGUCAUGUCUGUUGGAUCUGCCUGUAAAAUAAUUCUUUUAGUUCAGACAUACUUGCAACUAAAACAAGUAUAAUGAACCACGUUUCUCCCUACAUGUUCUUUAUGAUCAGAAUGGUGUGAAUAGGGGAAAUUUUAUGCCAUUUCAGCUUCUGUAUGUGUUUGCAAAGAUAUUUGGAAAGGGAGGCAAUAUGAAGCACUGAACACCACCACCACACCCUGAGGCUUUAUGGGUGGGGAAGAAAACUGCUAUUUUAGCUUUAGAAAUAUGCAUAUGGUUUCUUUCCCUCUGAGCAGUAAAUUGGGGUUGAUGAUGCUUCAAGAGUGCAGAUGGAGCUGUACAAGUGGAAGAGAUGAGUAGUGCUAGGGGGUAACUAUUUUAAUAAAGAACUUACCUGUGAGCUGGAAGAAAGUCACUUGUUGCUCUGCCAUUCUUUUGUCAUUGGUAUUUGAGGACAUCCUUCAGGAGACACUAGAGUAAAUUCUCGUUUGUCAUGAGAAGCUUUAAAUUGAUGCAAGGUAUUUUAAAGUAAAGAAAACAUACUAUGGAUAAUAAAAAGGGAACAGAUCGGCUCAGUUACAAACAGCAGAUUUAAAAAAAAAAAAACAAAAAAAAAAAAACAACAAACAUUUAAGCAACUUAAGAUGCAGUCACAUUUCCAGAGAAAAGCAAACAAACUGUAAAAGCUACUUGCAUUAGUAGUUAGGUAUACAUGUCCUAGCAUGAGUAGUAAGAAUUUUUCAGAAGGGAUUUUUGUGCUGUUCAGCAGAUAAAUACUUUUCGGGGGGAAGGGGAAUGUUGAAGGUUCUGAAAUCCUUCCAUCUGUUCAAAGAGUCUGUCAUUGACUUUAGAUACAGUAUGUCUUGGACUAGGCCCAAUGCAGCUGAAAAGUCCCAGCGCCUGCUAUAGAGCAAAAGUGAAAAUUCUUUGAAGUUCAAGCGUGUCUGGCUGCAAUUUCUCCAGCCAGGAAGAGCUCUGAAUGAAGGUGAAUUGUAUAAUUAAUAUUCUUUUCCAUUCAUUGAGCUUCAUCCACUGCUGUUAUAAAAAGAAAAUAUAAUGUGCUUCAACAGCUUUCUAGGAUGAGAACCUGAAUACUCUUAGACUUCUGAUUUACCAAAUCACCAAUGAAUUCCAAUGGAAAAAAUCGUCUUAAAUUGCUGCACAAACAUAAACAUGUUCAUCAAAGGCAUGCUAUCAGCCAGAUGCUUUGUCUGUUGAAUUUGUAUUUUGCAAUCUCAGACUUCUGCAAUAAGUCUUAUUGGUGUGAUUACUUAAAUAUAUGACAGGAUGCAGUUACUAACUUCAUGCAAAUAUCUGGGUUAGUUUUUCAGCCUUAACAAGGUCUCAGGAGACUACAUUAGCCUGAAAAAGCAUUCUUACAUAUGACUCUUCCACUGAAUUUUUUUUGAAACUUACUUCAGGUCUUACAAGGUUUUGUCUAACCAUCUUACAAAGUGUUUCAUAUUUAUUGCAGCAAUAGAAUGUUCAGAGUGAUAAAUAAGGCAAACACUUUCCUAUCAUUUAUUCUGAUUGCCUUGUGCUCAAAAGACACAUGGGUCACUUCCAAAAAUGUUUUAUAAGUUGUCUUUGAUUACAUAUUUUGAGUAUUUUCUUCUAGGUAUGUUGUCUGCUAAAAGAAAAGUCAUACCAUUUUAAAAUUAGUCAUAGUUAUAAUUUUUAACAAGCCUUGAUGCUCUGUAGAUUUUGAGUGACUGCUGUGACGUAAUUUGCUUUUGAAAUAUCAAAUAUACAGCCAGUUUUGGUGGUAAUAGUUCUUCAAACAGUUUUGUUCACAAUGGAGUACUUCAAAGAGAGGAAAAAAAAAUAAUGACCUUAAUGUCAUCUUCUGAAGAACAUUGUGAUUAUAUGCAUUGCUUCUUAGUAUCUUGGCUACACAGUGGGUCAAAUCUAUUUUGUACUGCACAAGUUUAGGUUUCAACAAGAUUGCAAGAGUUCAGUUAUUUUGUCUCUUUUAAAAAGGAAGAUGGUAGACUCAUGAAAUCUCAGGUCAAUAUUUAGGUGAAAAGCUUUUUCUAUUAACUAUAUUUGAGACCUUAAUGUGUUCUUAUUUAAAUUGACUCCGCUUGGGAUAAUACAAGAUCUUUGCCAAUUCUCUGUCCUCUGCCAUCACCUUUUUUGAAAUUUGAUCACAAGCAUCCAACUCAGCUUUUCCAAUAAAAUAAAUAAAUGAAAAGGAGCAUCCAUCUCUUUCAUCUACUUGCUCUCAUCUGUAUGAAUCAAAAUGGAGAGCAGCAGGGGAAAAAAAAUAACUUCUUCCUUCUACCCUUGCAUAUGUACAAUGAUGACAUUUAAUUUUAAAUUCUAUUUUGGAAGUGUUUCCAUGAGUUUCCAUAUUCAAGGAAACUGUCUAAUGUCUUAAUAGAUUCAGACAAAUGAUUUUCACAUAACCUGACAAACAAUUAGUUCUGAUGUGUAAGAUGAUUGCAUCUGACCAAGUGUACCAUGCCUUUUCUGUUGAGAAGCUGAACGUAAAUGUAUUGAACCAGAACCCUUACUGAGGAGCCAGAACCCAAGGACGGUGAGAAUGGAUGGGUGGAUGCACUAUGCCAGCAGAAGCUGGGAAUACUCAGAGCUCCCUACAAGCUUGUUAUCUACUACCUGUGCCCUGUUUGUACAUCUCUGUUCAGAAGUGCCCGAAAAAAGGUGAAGCAUCCAGCAUGAAGCAGAGAGCUGCAGUCUACUGUCUUGUGGCACAGUGGUUGUUAGAGGUCUUCUGGAGCCUGUUUAAUUCAGCAGCCUCAAGCCUCUGAGUUGAAGUCCAGAACAGUUUGCUGUCACAACAAAUGUUCUUGUUAUAGUGUACUAUGACUUAUAUUAUUAUAGCUUGUAUGUGAAAUGAAGUUUUGUGCACUUCCAAAUUUAAUCCAAAAAUAUUAUUCAGACAAAUGUCCUCCAUUCUGGAUCUGUCAGUUGAAAGGAUUUGAGGAUUCUUCAGCAAGAAAACAGACCAGAUAUUCCUCUGGGUUUUAGUUGCUGCUUCACUACAAAGACAAUCCUUAUGGGCAAGGAUUUUCCAAAGAGUUUCCAGCUGAAACUCUACAAAACACCAGAGAAGGCUCAUUAUGAGGCAAUUCAGGUGAAGAAUCCAAAGUUCUAGGCAGUUGGCUGCCUACACCUACAGCUUGGCUGAGGACAAGGGCAGCUCCAGAGAUGUUGGAUUGAAGGUAGUGGCACGGGAGUCCCAGAUGAGGUUUCUCAUUGCUCUUUCUCAUGAUUUCAUGAUCUGAGAUUACACAGAGCAGACUUUCAGCACAAGCUGCUGAGCUCCUGGAACUGUGAUGGAAAAAGUUGCAGAUUACAGAGAAAGGAGGCUGCAGAUGCUUCAGGGCAGUAAGUCUGUUGAUGCACUCCUGACAUGAGAAAUAUAUGUCAGAUCCUCUUGUCUUUAUUGGCGGUAGCUCCAUUAGUAAUAAAAUAGCAUUUAUUUAAAUAAGCUGAGCUGUUUGCAUAUAUUCUGCUGACCACAAUUCUUACAUCUUGCUACAAAUCUGACACUGCUUCAGAGCACUAGGACACAAAAAUAGAAGGGCAGAUGUUACAAAUAACUGCAGCUAUUCAGCUGAUUUUUUUUGAGGGUAAGGAAAAAACUCAUAUGCUUUGGUUGUUUGAAUUUGAAAAUGUGAACAGUUCUCUGAUGAGAAAGUUACCGCAACAUUUACAAUCAAUUUUUAUUAUACAUAAAAAUGAUAAAUACGAUAUAUUUAUCAUGUUACAUGAAAGCUUUGUACAAACAAAAACAGUUGAAAUUAACAUGUACCUAUACUACAUAAUUACACCAUCCUGACCAACAAGAUAAAUUUUGCUGCCUUCCUCUAAGAUUUUUUAAUUGUAGUUAAUAACUCUAUCAAAAAUUGCAAGCUGAUUGCAAUAUAAAUGAUUCAUUGGCACCUGACAGUGUCAUGCCUGGAAUGUUUCUGACUGCACACAAAUCAAAGUUUCUCAGAUUUUGAAGGAGACAUCUGUGAGUACUUAAUGAUCAGCAACUUGCUUUUCAGAGUGGUUGCUUGACCACAUGUCAGGUAUCUGUAAGCACUGAAGGAAAACAAUUUAUUUCAAGAAGUGAAACCACCCUCUUAAGGUUCCAAUCCAGUGAAAGUGGAAAGCUUUUUUUUUUUAUACUUAUAAUAAUGUAUGUAAAAAUAAGGCUGAUUUUAAUACCUCUUAAAUUCAUUAAUUUUAAACUGGAUGUGAUGAGCCUUAAGUUAUAUCCAUAGUCUCUUCUUUCAUCAGCAGAAGAUGAAAGAUUCUGGAAGUAUGUAGUUUUAAUGGAAAAAAUAAUACCGUUGGGUUUAGUUCUUUGUGGUAUUGCCAGUUAUUAUUCAACACUUCUAACUUAACAGUAAAAUGAGAAAUAUGUCAAAUAAGAGAAUUUUGCUCUAUCUUAGUUAAUGCUGUAUUUUUUUUAAUUAAAUUAAAAAAAAAAUAAAAAAAAUUGUCCAUGGCAGGAAAAAAACAAACAACAAACUGUGGCUUACAAAUAUUUGCAUGUCAGAAGUUUCAGGAAAUAAAGGAUUCUUCUGCAAAUGUGUUGAUUAAUUUUGUAACAGAUAUCUUCAUUAGGCACCAACAAUAGUGAAUACUAUUUGUAUCUGCUGAGUCUUGAUUGUAUAUCAUACAUGUAUAUAUUUUCACUGAUAUCUUGGGUUCUGCAGGAUAACAAUUCCAAAACUGGAAUAAUGGAAUACAAAUCUAACUAGAUAUAUUCAGUUUUCUUAUGGUCAUAGGCUGCCAUUGAUGAUUUUUUGUGAACUACAGCUUUCUUCUGAUUAAUAAUCAUAAAAUGACAUUUUGAGAACUUUGAAUAUUAUUGAGAAAUGUUCUAUGCUAUUUCUGCUUCGUUCUUCCCAAGAUUACUUGAUUUUUUUCAAACAUCCCGCCCUUAAUUUGGUGGAUUUUCCACUGAAUUUGUUGUGCCCUUUCCAGAGGCCAGAAAUAUAUAAACAUUCUUCUCUUGAACUCCGUGACGCUUGUUCUCAGCCAUUCCUGCGUGUGUGACAACAUGAUUGUAUACCUGCUGUCCUCAUCAGUAAUUUAUCUGUUACAUCCACAAAGAAGUGCAUAAACUGUCAUCUAGGAAAACUGUGCAAUUGCCUAGGAAUAAGGGGACAGCACUUACCCAUAUGUACUCAAUCAUUUUUGACUGCCACCUUGAUAUCUUCCACAUUUAGUGGAGGAGGCAAAACAUGGCCUGCCACCUGAAACACUAAACAACUGCAGCUAUUUUUGAUCAUACAAAUACACAUGAACAGCAUCUGCACAGGG